This 898-nucleotide long non-coding RNA is filed under the name Phaseolus vulgaris (common bean). Its description in RNAcentral is "long non-coding RNA (PVUL_LNC000975)". Lineage: Eukaryota; Viridiplantae; Streptophyta; Magnoliopsida; Fabales; Fabaceae. The record is from RNAcentral.
UUGUUUCCGCUUAGAAUGAAGGUCUUAAUUCUCCAAUUCCAGCACCUAUCAAAAGACUAGACCUUACCCAAGUCAAGUUUCAAUUCAAUUAAGCACCAAAGGAGAAUAAUUUCCAGCACCAAAUUAGAGGUCAAAGAACAAAAGCAAGAAACAAUUUAAUUGAAUAAAACAGUACCACCAAAAGGGGUUAGAUUAUGACAACUAGAAAGAGGUCCAAGAAAUAUUAAGCAAGCAAAAAAAAGGUACCAAAAUAAAGGUAGGCACACAAAAGAAUCCUAAGAAUAGCACUAGAAUUAGAUGACCAAAUAAAAAAACAGCACCACUGGAAAAUGUUGUGGGCCAGAAACGUGUUUUUCCCCAAUUUAUGCUGAGCUGUGUUUUUAAGAUAUGAUUCUGAAAUUUGAUAUGCAAGAUAUUCAAGAUCUUAGCUAAAAUCUGGCUUUGGAAUCACUCAAAACGCAUGCACCAAUGUUUUUUAAUAAAUUUUGCAAUUUUGGUGUUCAGUUACGCCAGCUGUAGCGCCUCAGAUUUGCACACUGAUUUUAAAAGAUUUAUCAUUUUUUUUCUGUUGAUUCUUUUGGACUAAUUCUUUUUUUGUCCUUUCUAUAACACUUCAAACUUGCAUACUCCAAAGAAUCAAAAUUUUCCUAUGAGUGAAAAUAUUUUUCUGGAACAAAACAGCCAGCACAGAAAAUUUGAAACAGGGGAUUCUGGAAACUGGAAACAAAAACAGCAAGAUACCAAAAUUUAAACACAAUAGAAUUUGUGAAAUAGAAUUUUUGUAGGAUCUAAACACAAAUAGGAACCCAAACUAAAAUUAAAAAGGCACCAAAAGAUCAAAGAACAGCAGAUUCAAAGCAAUUAAAGAUACCUAAAAUCAAGAAACAAUCAAGCCAAA